This 602-nucleotide long non-coding RNA is filed under the name Homo sapiens (human). RNAcentral's name for it is "HSALNT0089663". Lineage: Eukaryota; Metazoa; Chordata; Mammalia; Primates; Hominidae. The record is from RNAcentral.
CAUGAGCAAUUCUGUUUCCUCUUCAAUCUGCGAUGCAGAAAGGGGUGCGGGUUGCAAAGGGAGUAGCCUCUGUUUUUUUGUUACUUAAGCAUGGGAAGUUGGAGUUUUCCUUUUGAUUCAUUUCUAGGAAGUCGGUGCAAACUGGCCCUGCCUCCAGACCCUAUUCUCCAGCAUGAAUUGCAUCUCAUCAAUGUCAUUUUCACUUUUGAUGAUGAAGGCUGAUUACCUUGUAGAGAGAGAAGUCAUAGGGAUGUUAUGUCCAUGGAGCGUGGCCUUAAGUGGACCUAUUUCUUGGGGUCUCCAGAUCUGUUUGGAACUUCAAAAUUAUUCAAGAAAAGGUGUCUCAUCAGCAGAAGACUGAACAGUUUUACCUAAUGGUAUCUUGAGUAGAAAUGUAACCUAGAAGAGUUUAUUGAAAAUCCUCCUGGCUGAUGCUUAUUUCUUGGAAUCCUGAGUCUUACACUUGCUACCUAAUAAAAAGAAGGAAGAUUCUUCUCAGCAAGGUGAGAAAACAGGCUGAGAGAAGUUGGAAGAAACACAGGAGCAGGGAUCCCACAUUAGACAGUCUGAUUCCAGAGAUCAGGACCUUGGCUGCAACACUA